This 497-nucleotide ribosomal RNA is filed under the name uncultured bacterium. Its description in RNAcentral is "partial 16S ribosomal RNA". It matches the Rfam family "Bacterial small subunit ribosomal RNA", at positions 28 to 507 of the family's 1533-position model. The record is from RNAcentral.
GAGGAAAGAGGGAGGCGUGCCUAAUACAUGCAAGUCGAGCGAACAGACGAGGAGCUUGCUCCUUUGACGUUAGCGGCGGACGGGUGAGUAACACGUGGAUAACCUACCUAUAAGACUGGGAUAACUUCGGGAAACCGGAGCUAAUACCGGAUAACAUGUUGAACCGCAUGGUUCAACAGUGAAAGACGGUCUUGCUGUCACUUAUAGAUGGAUCCGCGCCGCAUUAGCUAGUUGGUAAGGUAACGGCUUACCAAGGCAACGAUGCGUAGCCGACCUGAGAGGGUGAUCGGCCACACUGGAACUGAGACACGGUCCAGACUCCUACGGGAGGCAGCAGUAGGGAAUCUUCCGCAAUGGGCGAAAGCCUGACGGAGCAACGCCGCGUGAGUGAAGAAGGUCUUCGGAUCGUAAAACUCUGUUAUUAGGGAAGAACAAAUGUGUAAGUAACUAUGCACGUCUUGACGGUACCUAAUCAGAAAGCCACGGCUAACUACGUG